RNAcentral lists this long non-coding RNA (285 nucleotides) under Sorghum bicolor (sorghum). RNAcentral's name for it is "long non-coding RNA (SBIC_LNC007641)". Lineage: Eukaryota; Viridiplantae; Streptophyta; Magnoliopsida; Poales; Poaceae. The record is from RNAcentral.
UAUAUAUAUCCGAAACUGAUCUCAGAUGGUGGUUAGAGAUAUGGAUACAGUAUAUGUAGACUAUAAAAAUACAUAUCUUAGUAUAUCCAUUGAAGCGGUGGUGCCUAGCCAUGUCACCCAAUUGUAAUGCGACUAAACUGAUGCACAAGGCAUCCGAAUCGCUCCAUUGAUGAAUCAUAUUCCCUGUAAUUAAUUUGGGGCAUAUUACUGGUGGUGUUCACCACUUGUAACAGUUAAUGCAAGUCCUAUUUUUACUUUUAGCAAUAUAUAUACUACUAUCAGAGC